Molecule: ribosomal RNA, 468 nt
Filed under: uncultured bacterium
Lineage: Bacteria
Description: partial 16S ribosomal RNA
Rfam family: Bacterial small subunit ribosomal RNA
Source: RNAcentral
GACGAACGCUGGCGGCGUGCUUAACACAUGCAAGUCGAACGGAAAGGCCCUGCUUUUGUGGGGUGCUCGAGUGGCGAACGGGUGAGUAACACGUGAGUAACCUGCCCUUGACUUUGGGAUAACUUCAGGAAACUGGGGCUAAUACCGGAUAGGAGCUCCUGCUGCAUGGUGGGGGUUGGAAAGUUUCGGCGGUUGGGGAUGGACUCGCGGCUUAUCAGCUUGUUGGUGGGGUAGUGGCUUACCAAGGCUUUGACGGGUAGCCGGCCUGAGAGGGUGACCGGCCACAUUGGGACUGAGAUACGGCCCAGACUCCUACGGGAGGCAGCAGUGGGGAAUAUUGCACAAUGGGCGGAAGCCUGAUGCAGCAACGCCGCGUGCGGGAUGACGGCCUUCGGGUUGUAACCCGCUUUCGCCUGUGACGAGGCGUGAGUGACGGUAAUGGGUAAAGAAGCACCGGCUAACUACGUG